GUAGGGAAUAUUGGGCAAUGGUCGGAAGACUGACCCAGCCAUGCCGCGUGCAGGAAGACGGCCCUCUGGGUUGUAAACUGCUUUUAUCUGGGAAGAAAAAGGCCAUGCGUGGCAAAUUGCCGGUACCAGAUGAAUAAGCACCGGCUAACUCCGUGCCAGCAGCCGCGGUAAUACGGAGGGUGCAAGCGUUGUCCGGAUUUAUUGGGUUUAAAGGGUGCGUAGGCGGCUGAUUAAGUCAGCGGUGAAAGACUCCGGCUUAACCGGAGCAGUGCCGUUGAUACUGGUUAGCUUGAGUGUUGGAGGGGUACAUGGAAUUGAUGGUGUAGCGGUGAAAUGCAUAGAUACCAUCAGGAACACCGAUAGCGAAGGCAUUGUACUGGCCAACAACUGACGCUGAUGCACGAAAGUGUGGGGAUCGAACAGGAUUAGAAACCCCGGUAGUCC
Molecule: ribosomal RNA, 444 nt
Filed under: uncultured bacterium
Lineage: Bacteria
Description: partial 16S ribosomal RNA
Rfam family: Bacterial small subunit ribosomal RNA
Source: RNAcentral